Non-coding RNA from Cinara cedri, 807 nucleotides. NCBI's taxonomy places the organism in Eukaryota, Metazoa, Arthropoda, Insecta, Hemiptera, Aphididae. The record is from the annotation of a GenBank genome assembly.
ACCGAAUUCUUCCUAGAUCGAAAAUUUAUAAUAUUAUUUCUUCGAACGUGUGUUUGAAAAAUACUAUUCGGGCCGUCGAUAAAAUCACAAUUUAGAACCCGGCGUUUCAAUCUUCAUUUAUCCAAACCCAGUUACAGCUAAACAGAGUGCCGAACGGGGAUGGCAGACGAACGGUCGAAAUUCUAACCAGGAAAAAUUCGUCGGUACAAAUUCUGAAAAUCGAAGAAUAGUUAAGUGCCAACUUCUUUCGUACAUCUGCUUUUUGGUACCAGAGCGUCUGACCACUUUUUACAUUCUACGCGCCGUCACAUUUACUGAGCGAACGAACCGCUAAAGAGGUGUCUAAACGCCAAAUGUAAACCCUAAUUUUCAAACUUUAUCCGCAUUUUUAUUUUAACCACAUGUACACUAUUAAGAUAACUGUUGGCCGAUGUCUAUUGGUUACAUUUUGCACGUGUAUGUUAAAUAAAAUUCAAUAAUCGCACGUCGCGUUUGACAAAAUGUAUUUUCGUUGUACGUCAAACGGUAGCGGCGAUCACCUGUCCAUAUAAGCAUAAACAGAGACCACCGCCCGCAGUGGCGUUUUCACGAUCAUUUCGUCCGGACAAAAGUCGAACGCCAUCCCGUAUAUUGGCUUUGACCCUCUCGGACGACCGCGGUUUUAUGUGUAUACGGACGGCGCUGCAGUGGCGGCAGAGAUUCCAAUCGUUUUCUCGGGAUAUUUACGAUCGGUUUUUCGACUGUUUCUCGUUCCCUCCCCCUCAUCUUGUCAUUGUCGAGUUAUAUAUAUAUAUAUGUACACCCGCG